CGACCGGCGCACGGGUGAGUAACGCGUAUGCAACUUACCUAUCAGAGGGGGAGAGCCCGGCGAAGUCGGAUUAAUACCCAUAAAACAGGGGUCCCGCAUGGGAAUAUUUGUUAAAGAUUCAUCGCUGAUAGAUAGGCAUGCGUUUCAUUAGGCAGUUGGCGGGGUAACGGCCCACCAAACCGACGAUGGAUAGGGGUUCUGAGAGGAAGGUCCCCCACAUUGGUACUGAGACACGGACCAA
This 241-nucleotide ribosomal RNA is filed under the name uncultured bacterium. Its description in RNAcentral is "partial 16S ribosomal RNA". It matches the Rfam family "Bacterial small subunit ribosomal RNA", at positions 92 to 334 of the family's 1533-position model. The record is from RNAcentral.